Molecule: ribosomal RNA, 28 nt
Filed under: Umma longistigma
Lineage: Eukaryota; Metazoa; Arthropoda; Insecta; Odonata; Calopterygidae
Description: partial 28S ribosomal RNA
Source: RNAcentral
AAUCGCAGCGCCGACCUCAGAGCAAGUG